AGGAUGUUUGAUAACAGCCUGAAAAGUGGGAUUGACAUGAUAUCACUUAACCAAUGACAUUUAGAAAAGAGAAAAGGGGGAUGGCUGAAUGGGAGGAUGGAGCAGAUGCAGAAGGUAAAGGGGGAAGAGAAAAGGCUUAAGAUGAAAGAGUUAAAUUUAAAAAUAAAAAGUUUUAAAUAUAAAAAGUUAAAUUUAACAUUACUUAAACAAUUUAGUAACUGAAGGAAUGUAAGUUUUAGUUAUUCAAGUUCUGGAUCAGGUUGGUUAAUAUCAUAUUAGAAUGCCACUGAAUAAAGGAUCUAACUUUCUGACUUCAAGUGUAAAAUAGAGUAUAAUGUUACUCUAACUCACAGGUUUAAUACACAAAACCAAUAAGAUCUUAAAAAUAACAGAAGAUUUAUUGCUUGAGUAGAGCAAAUCAUAAUGUUGAGUGAAUGGAAAAUUCCAGAUAUUCACAAUUUACUAUGCAUCUUUGAAUCCACUGGGUUUUUUGGUCAAUACACACAUUAAUAACAGUGUGCACUGUUAGUAUGUUGUUACCUUCCCAGCAAGGCCCAACCCACUAUUUGGUAACCUAUUUAUAUGCUGAAAAUCUAUUGACCUUGUGCUUAUGGUUUGGCUGUUCUGCCUGUUCUAAAAAUAAAGAGGAAACAUUUUACAUUGGAUUUCAGAGUUGGUUGGAUAUUUAAUUUACGAAGUAAAGUACUUCAAGAACAUACCCUGGAAGGUUUUACAUCAUUAGGAGAAAGAGAAGCUUGGAAUUAAUCUUUCAUCCAAAGAAUACCACACCUGGAGCAAAAACCAAGCUUACAUCAAUGGAGUGACUUGAACCCAUGACUCAGAGGUGACAAUGUCAUAUGGAAUACAGUAAUAAAGUCAAUUGGACCUCUGGACUAUCACUUGGACUUUUCCAGGUCCACAAGCGUCUUGGAUGGUUUUUAAAGUAGGUAUUCAUAAUGACCUGAUUUUUCAUCUUGCACCAUUCUACCCAUUUCAAACCUUUUUCAUUUCUUUCCCCUAGUCCAAAUUUUCCUAUGGUAUUUCCAUCAGCACCUUGUUCUACUUUAGCAUUUAGAUCUCCCAUGAUAAUAACAAUAUCUUGAGAUUUGCAUCCAUUCUUUCCUUGUUCAAGCUUUUCAUAGAAUUUAUCUAUAUCCUAAUUUGUUCCAUCUGUUGUUGGUGCAUAUACCCGUAUAAUUGCUAAAUCAAAUGGUUGCCCUCUGAAUCUAACAAGGAGCACUCUCUCUGAGAUCGCCCAAUGUCCUAAAACACUUCUUGCCAUGUUUUCAUCCUUAAGAAUUCCUACUCCAUUAGUAUGGGAUGUUCCACAAGAUUAGUGUUUGAUUUCUGUUCUGAAAUGUUCCAGCACCUGUCCAACGAACUUCACUAAUUCCCAUGAUGUUAAUCUUUAGUCUUUCCAUUUCAUUCAUCAUAUGAUUCCAUCUUCCUGCUUGAUAUAGGGUUCUAACAUUCCAAGUGGCAAUAAUUUUCUUUUGUGUUACUUGAAU
This is a long non-coding RNA of Hypanus sabinus (Atlantic stingray), 1508 nucleotides long. RefSeq lists it as uncharacterized. The transcript has 3 exons. Lineage: Eukaryota; Metazoa; Chordata; Chondrichthyes; Myliobatiformes; Dasyatidae. The record is from RefSeq and is a predicted model, not a curated record.